RNAcentral lists this ribosomal RNA (469 nucleotides) under uncultured bacterium. RNAcentral describes it as "partial 16S ribosomal RNA". It matches the Rfam family "Bacterial small subunit ribosomal RNA", at positions 28 to 507 of the family's 1533-position model. The record is from RNAcentral.
GACGAACGCUGGCGGCGUGCUUAACACAUGCAAGUCGAACGGAAAGGCCCUGCUUGCAGGGUGCUCGCGUGGCGAACGGGUGAGUAACACGCGGGUGAACAGCCCCUUACUUUGGGAUAAGCCUGGGAAACUGGGUCGAAUACAGGAUAGGAACAUGCUGUAGGCGGUGUGGUGGAUAGAGUAGUUCCGGUCAGGGAUGAGCUCGCGGCCGAUCAGCUCGUCGGUGGGGUACUGGCCUAACAAGGCGUCGACGGGUAGCCGGCCUGAGAGGGUGGGCGGCCCCGUUCGGACUCCGACGCGGCGCAGCCUCCUACGAGCGGCCGCAGUGGGGAAUAUUCCGCCAUGGGCGCACGCCUGAUGCGGCGACGCCGCGUGGGGCGUGACGGCCUUCUGGUUGUAAACUCCUUUCGGCCAUGUCGCAGCCCUUGUGUUGACGGUAGUGGUAGAAGAAGCCCCGGCUAACUACGUG